Molecule: transfer RNA, 73 nt
Filed under: Ailuropoda melanoleuca (giant panda)
Lineage: Eukaryota; Metazoa; Chordata; Mammalia; Carnivora; Ursidae
Rfam family: tRNA
About the family: Transfer RNA (tRNA) molecules are approximately 80 nucleotides in length. Their secondary structure includes four short double-helical elements and three loops (D, anti-codon, and T loops).
Source: Rfam by way of RNAcentral
ACCUGGCUGGUUCAGUUGGAAGAGCAUGUGACUCUUGAUCUUGGGGUUGUGAGUUCAAGCCUCACGCUGGGUG